UGGGGAAUAUUGGACAAUGGGCGCAAGCCUGAUCCAGCCAUGCCGCGUGAGUGAUGAAGGCCCUAGGGUUGUAAAGCUCUUUUGUGCGGGAAGAUAAUGACUGUACCGCAAGAAUAAGCCCCGGCUAACUUCGUGCC
Molecule: ribosomal RNA, 137 nt
Filed under: uncultured bacterium
Lineage: Bacteria
Description: partial 16S ribosomal RNA
Rfam family: Bacterial small subunit ribosomal RNA
Source: RNAcentral